This 384-nucleotide long non-coding RNA is filed under the name Drosophila guanche. The record is from RNAcentral. Lineage: Eukaryota; Metazoa; Arthropoda; Insecta; Diptera; Drosophilidae.
AAAAGUUUGCACGGAAAAGAAAAUGCAUUAGGGGGAAAUGAAAAUGGAAUUAAAAAUGGCAGUAGGCAAAGGAUACACAAGCUCUAUGACUGGAGUCUUUAAGAGAUCAAUGUGGGAAAAGGAGAAAAUUAAAUGUCCGGCAGAUUGGAGGCGGCCUCAAGCACUGCUUAAAGACAAGGUCUCGGGUUGUGGCGGUGCACUGCUUGUAACAGCUACAUAUUUAGCCGAUGAGCGAACCAUAAACCUUCAGGAACUGCUUGAUCGCUUGCUGGUGAUGGAGAUUUAGCCGAUGAGCGAACCAACCCCUUCAGGAACUGCUUGAUCGCUUGCGGGUAAAGAAUGGCUUCAAGCAGUUCGUUAACCCGGCCUUGAAGAACUGCUUAC